ACGAGACCUUAACCUGCUAAAUAGUCCGGCCGGCUUUUGCUGGUCGCAGACUUCUUAGAGGGACUGUCAGCGUCUAGCUGACGGAAGUUUGAGGCAAUAACAGGUCUGUGAUGCCCUUAGAUGUUCUGGGCCGCACGCGCGCUACACUGACAGAGCCAGCGAGUUCUCACCUUGGCCGGAAGGUCUGGGUAAUCUUGUGAAACU
RNAcentral lists this ribosomal RNA (204 nucleotides) under Ceratorhiza hydrophila. Its description in RNAcentral is "partial small subunit ribosomal RNA". It matches the Rfam family "Eukaryotic small subunit ribosomal RNA", at positions 1335 to 1561 of the family's 1831-position model. Lineage: Eukaryota; Fungi; Basidiomycota; Agaricomycetes; Cantharellales; Ceratobasidiaceae. The record is from RNAcentral.